UACGUAGGGGCCAAGCGUUGUUCGGAUUUACUGGGCGUAAAGGGCGCGUAGGCGGUAGUUCAAGUCAGUUGUGAAAUCUCCGAGCUUAACUGGGAACGGUCAUCUGAAACUGCUCUGCUAGAGUACAGAAGAGGCAAGCGGAAUUCUUGGUGUAGCGGUGAAAUGCGUAGAUAUCUGGAGGAACACCUGAGGUGAAGACGGGUUGCUGGGCUGUUACUGACGCUGAGGCGCGAAAGCUAGGGUAGCAAACGGG
Molecule: ribosomal RNA, 253 nt
Filed under: uncultured bacterium
Lineage: Bacteria
Description: partial 16S ribosomal RNA
Rfam family: Bacterial small subunit ribosomal RNA
Source: RNAcentral